RNAcentral lists this ribosomal RNA (400 nucleotides) under phytoplankton environmental sample. RNAcentral's name for it is "partial small subunit ribosomal RNA". It matches the Rfam family "Eukaryotic small subunit ribosomal RNA", at positions 587 to 992 of the family's 1831-position model. The record is from RNAcentral.
AGCUCUGUAAGCGUAUAUCAAAGUUGUUGCAGUUAAAACGCUCGUAGUCGAAUCUUGGCUGAACUUACGCGGAGUCCGCAAGGAUUCUGCGGUUGAGGAAAGCCUUUGUGGAUUGUGUGCGCGGAGGUGUUUUAUUACACUUCCGUUGUACUGCCACCGUUUACUGUGAAAAAAUUAGAGUGUUCAAAGCAAGCGAUUUGCCCUGAAUACAUUAGCAUGGAAUAAUAGAAUAGGACCUGGUCUUAUUUUGUUGGUUUGUAUAAUUUCAGGUAAUGAUUAACAGGGACGGUUGGGGGCAUUUGUAUUCCGAGGCGAGAGGUGAAAUUCUUAGACCCUCGGAAGACAAACAGCUGCGAAAGCGUUUGCCAAGGACGUUUUCAUUGAUCAAGAACGAAAGUAG